AACGUAGGAGGCGAGCGUUAUCCGGAUUUACUGGGCGUAAAGCGCGUGUAGGCGGUUUCAUAAGUCGUGCGUGAAAGCUCCCUGGCUCAACCGGGGGAGGUCGUGCGAUACUGCGAAACUUGAGUCAGACAGAGGCAAGUAGAAUUCCGGGUGUAGUGGUGAAAUGCGUAGAUAUCCGGAGGAAUACCAGUGGCGAAGGCGACUUGCUGGGUCUGUACUGACGCUCAGACGCGAAAGCAUGGGGAGCGAACGGG
This 254-nucleotide ribosomal RNA is filed under the name uncultured bacterium. Its description in RNAcentral is "partial 16S ribosomal RNA". It matches the Rfam family "Bacterial small subunit ribosomal RNA", at positions 524 to 776 of the family's 1533-position model. The record is from RNAcentral.